CAGAGGGGGCAAGCGUUGUUCGGAAUUACUGGGCGUAAAGGGCGCGUAGGCGGCCCGCUAAGUCGAACGUGAAAUCCCCGGGCUCAACCCGGGAACUGCGUCCGAUACUGGUGGGCUUGAAUCCGGGAGAGGGAUGCGGAAUUCCAGGUGUAGCGGUGAAAUGCGUAGAUAUCUGGAGGAACACCGGUGGCGAAGGCGGCAUCCUGGACCGGUAUUGACGCUGAGGCGCGAAAGCCAGGGGAGCAAACGGGAUUAGAUACCCCGGUAGUCCUGGCCCUAAACGAUGAAUGCUUGGUGUGGCGGGUAUCGAUCCCUGCCGUGCCGAAGCUAACGCAUUAAGCAUUCCGCCUGGGGAGUACGGUCGCAAGGCUG
RNAcentral lists this ribosomal RNA (372 nucleotides) under uncultured organism. Its description in RNAcentral is "bacterial SSU rRNA". It matches the Rfam family "Bacterial small subunit ribosomal RNA", at positions 526 to 896 of the family's 1533-position model. The record is from RNAcentral.